GAUGAACGCUGGCGGCGUGCCUAAUACAUGCAAGUCGAGCGAACAGACGAGGAGCUUGCUCCUCUGACGUUAGCGGCGGACGGGUGAGUAACACGUGGAUAACCUACCUAUAAGACUGGGAUAACUUCGGGAAACCGGAGCUAAUACCGGAUAAUAUAUUGAACCGCAUGGUUCAAUAGUUAAAGACGGUUUUGCUGUCACUUAUAGAUGGAUCCGCGCCGCAUUAGCUAGUUGGUAAGGUAACGGCUUACCAAGGCGACGAGGCGUAGCCGACCUGAGAGGGUGAUCGGCCACACUAGAACUGGAACACGGUCCAGACUCCUACGGGAGGCAGCAGUAGCGAAUCUUCCGCAAUGGGCGAAAGCCUGACGGAGCAACGCCGCGUGAGUGAUGAAGGUCUUCGGAUCGUAAAACUCUGUUAUUAGGGAAGAACAAAUGUGUAAGUAACUAUGCACGUCUUGACGGUACCUAAUCAGAAAGCCACGGCUAACUACGUG
This 497-nucleotide ribosomal RNA is filed under the name uncultured bacterium. RNAcentral's name for it is "partial 16S ribosomal RNA". It matches the Rfam family "Bacterial small subunit ribosomal RNA", at positions 28 to 507 of the family's 1533-position model. The record is from RNAcentral.